Molecule: ribosomal RNA, 387 nt
Filed under: uncultured bacterium
Lineage: Bacteria
Description: bacterial SSU rRNA
Rfam family: Bacterial small subunit ribosomal RNA
Source: RNAcentral
GAUGAACGCUAGCGGCAGGCUUAACACAUGCAAGUCGAGGGGUAUAGUUCUUCGGAACUAGAGACCGGCGCACGGGUGCGUAACGCGUAUGCAAUCUACCUUUCACAAAGGGAUAGCCCAGAGAAAUUUGGAUUAAUACCUUAUAGUAAUACGACUUGGCAUCAAGAUGUAUUUAAAGAUUUAUCGGUGAAAGAUGAGCAUGCGUCCCAUUAGCUUGUUGGUAAGGUAACGGCUUACCAAGGCAACGAUGGGUAGGGGUCCUGAGAGGGAGAUCCCCCCACACUGGUACUGAGACACGGACCAGACUCCUACGGGAGGCAGCAGUGAGGAAUAUUGGACAAUGGGCGCAAGCCUGAUCCAGCCAUGCCGCGUGCAGGAUGACGGUCC